RNAcentral lists this ribosomal RNA (252 nucleotides) under uncultured bacterium. RNAcentral's name for it is "partial 16S ribosomal RNA". It matches the Rfam family "Bacterial small subunit ribosomal RNA", at positions 524 to 776 of the family's 1533-position model. The record is from RNAcentral.
UACGGAGGAUGCGAGCGUUAUCCGGAUUUAUUGGGUUUAAAGGGUGCGUAGGUGGACUGUCAAGUCAGCGGUAAAAUUGAGAGGCUCAACCUCUUCCCGCCGUUGAAACUGGUGGUCUUGAGUGGAUGAGAAGUACGCGGAAUGCGUGGUGUAGCGGUGAAAUGCAUAGAUAUCACGCAGAACUCCGAUUGCGAAGGCAGCGUACCGGCAUCCAACUGACGCUGAGGCACGAAAGCGUGGGGAUCAAACAGG